Molecule: non-coding RNA, 45 nt
Organism: Schistosoma mattheei
Lineage: Eukaryota; Metazoa; Platyhelminthes; Trematoda; Strigeidida; Schistosomatidae
Source: Rfam
AUUCGACUGAUGAGUCCUAGCUAGGACGUAACGCGUGUCCUGGAU